This 714-nucleotide ribosomal RNA is filed under the name Triticum aestivum (bread wheat). RNAcentral describes it as "partial small subunit ribosomal RNA". The record is from RNAcentral. Lineage: Eukaryota; Viridiplantae; Streptophyta; Magnoliopsida; Poales; Poaceae.
AUGGUGGUGUGGAGGGAGAGCUACCUGGACCUCAUCCUGAUCCCGCUGGGGCUGCUCCUCCCGGCGCUGUACCACGCCUGGCUGUGGCGGGCCGUGCGGCGCCGCCCGCUCACCACGGCCUUCGGGGUCUACUCGGCGGCACGCAGGCUGUGGGCGGCCGGCAUGAUGCGAGACAACGACGACAAGAAGGGGGUGCUGGUGGUGCAGUCCAUCCGGAACGUCAUCAUGGGGUCCACGCUCAUGGCCACCACCUCGGUGCUCUUCUGCACCGGCAUCGCCGCCGUGCUCAGCAGCACCUACUCCGUCAAGAAGCCGCUGAGCGACGCCGUGUUCGGCGCGCACGGGGAGUACAUGAUGGCGCUCAACUUCCUCAUCAACACCUCCUGCCUCCCCCUCCCCGACGCCGAAAAGGACGACGACGGCGCCCGCCUGGUCGGCCUGCAGCUGCCGGCCGGCGCCGUGGGCGACUACGUGGGCGAGAUCCUCGAGAGGAGCUUCACGCUCAACUUCGUGGGCAACAGGCUCUUCUACGCCGGGGUGCCCCUCCUGCUCUGGAUCUUCGGCCCGCUGCUCGCCUUCCUCUCCGCCCUGGUCAUGAUCCCCAUACUCUACAACCUCGACAUGGUGCACGUCGCCGCCGACAGAGGAACGAAGGAGCACAGCAGCGGCUGCGUCAACGGCAAGGCGAAGGGGAAUGGCUGCAUGCAAGUCUGA